Molecule: ribosomal RNA, 253 nt
Filed under: uncultured bacterium
Lineage: Bacteria
Description: partial 16S ribosomal RNA
Rfam family: Bacterial small subunit ribosomal RNA
Source: RNAcentral
UACGGGGGGGGCAAGCGUUGUUCGGAAUUAUUGGGCGUAAAGGGCUCGUAGGCGGUUUGUCGCGUCGGGAGUGAAAACCUCGGGCUUAACUCGGGGCUUGCUUUCGAUACGGGCAGACUUGAGGUAUUCAGGGGAGAACGGAAUUCCUGGUGUAGCGGUGAAAUGCGCAGAUAUCAGGAGGAACACCGGUGGCGAAGGCGGUUCUCUGGGAAUAUCCUGACGCUGAGGAGCGAAAGUGUGGGGAGCGAACAGG